Molecule: long non-coding RNA, 388 nt
Organism: Amphiprion ocellaris (clown anemonefish)
Lineage: Eukaryota; Metazoa; Chordata; Actinopteri; Pomacentridae
Source: Ensembl
CCUGUCGCCUUCGGUCGUGGCUGAGUCCUCUGAAGCAGCUGGAGAUGCUCACCAUCAUCGGUGGAAACUCUCUGGCGACCUACACCACCACCAUCCCAUCCAGCGUGACCAGGCUGACGCUGCGAGUCGCCAUAACGCUCAAGGACAUGGACUCCAUCGCACCCAAAGUCCCAGGACUGGAGCACCUGGACAUUGAACAGAACCGGUCCAGCGGCAGCCUCUGCAGACGGAUCCCCAUGCUGUUCCCAGAACUCAGGACUCUACGGAUACGAUUUUUCCGCCGGGAACCAGAGAAGGACCUGCUGAGCCUCCACCGACUGCGACACCUGGUGCAGCUGGAGCUGCUGGUGGAGCGAUCUUUCAUCCUCAGAGACUACCUCAACGGUCA